RNAcentral lists this transfer RNA (72 nucleotides) under Camelus bactrianus (Bactrian camel). It matches the Rfam family "tRNA". Rfam says of the family: Transfer RNA (tRNA) molecules are approximately 80 nucleotides in length. Their secondary structure includes four short double-helical elements and three loops (D, anti-codon, and T loops). Lineage: Eukaryota; Metazoa; Chordata; Mammalia; Artiodactyla; Camelidae. RNAcentral also lists the same sequence under 2 other names. The record is from Rfam by way of RNAcentral.
GAGGGUAUAGCUCAGUGACAGAGCUCAUGGUUAGCACACGGGAGGUUCUAGGUUCAAUCCCCAGUACCUCCA